AUGAAGAGAGAGAGGGGGGUAAUAGAGAGGAAUCUUCUGCAAUCCUCGGGGCAGAGCACAAUGCAACUUCCUCUGCUCGUUGCAAACCCAUCUGCAUCAUCCGUAGAGCAGAGCACAACUAGCAGCUCUGUAGCGACGCAACACUUCUGCUACCCAUCCAAAGAUGACAACACGAUCAAGUGGGGUGAGGCUUGUCUGUGGUCUUUCAAGCAGUACAAGUUUGAUGACUCUUCUGCUGGAGACACGUGGCCCUGUUUGAAUAAUGCAGCUUCACAUGAUGGCGACGAGUCUGGUAUUCAGAACAUCUCAUGA
RNAcentral lists this ribosomal RNA (312 nucleotides) under Triticum aestivum (bread wheat). Its description in RNAcentral is "partial small subunit ribosomal RNA". Lineage: Eukaryota; Viridiplantae; Streptophyta; Magnoliopsida; Poales; Poaceae. The record is from RNAcentral.